Molecule: ribosomal RNA, 101 nt
Filed under: Methylopila capsulata
Lineage: Bacteria; Pseudomonadati; Pseudomonadota; Alphaproteobacteria; Hyphomicrobiales; Methylopilaceae
Source: RNAcentral
UUGCGAGGUGAAAAAACCCGAUCCCAUCCCGAACUCGGCCGUUAAGCACCUCUGCGCCGAUGGUACUCCGUCUUAAGGCGCGGGAGAGUAGGUCGUCGCCA